AACUUUGAGCGGUGGAUCACUCGGCUCGUGUGUCGAUGAAGAGUGCAGCCAACUGUGUGAAUUAAUGUGAACUGCAUACUGCUUUGAACAUCGACAUCUUGAACGCAUAUUGCGGCCAUGGGUUGUCCUGUGGCCACGCCUGUCCGAGGGUCGGCU
This 156-nucleotide ribosomal RNA is filed under the name Stephanoprora chasanensis. RNAcentral's name for it is "5.8S ribosomal RNA". It matches the Rfam family "5.8S ribosomal RNA". From Rfam's summary of the family: 5.8S ribosomal RNA (5.8S rRNA) is a component of the large subunit of the eukaryotic ribosome. Lineage: Eukaryota; Metazoa; Platyhelminthes; Trematoda; Plagiorchiida; Echinochasmidae. The record is from RNAcentral.